RNAcentral lists this RNase P RNA (441 nucleotides) under Nitrospirae bacterium GWC2_42_7. RNAcentral's name for it is "RNase P RNA component class A". It matches the Rfam family "Bacterial RNase P class A". From Rfam's summary of the family: Ribonuclease P (RNase P) is a ubiquitous endoribonuclease, found in archaea, bacteria and eukarya as well as chloroplasts and mitochondria. Its best characterised activity is the generation of mature 5'-ends of tRNAs by cleaving the 5'-leader elements of precursor-tRNAs. The record is from RNAcentral. Lineage: Bacteria; Pseudomonadati; Nitrospirota.
UGAAGCAGAACAUGUGGCCGCCCUGCUUUUUUUAAAAAAUGCGGGGAGGAAAGUCCGAGCUCCACAGGGCAAGACGCUCCGUAACACGGAGUCUCCCUUAUUAAACAGGGGGAAGGAAAGUGCCGCAGAAAGGGAAACCACUUCUGACUUUGUCAGGAGAAAGGGUGAAAAGGUGUCCCAAUUAAACGGGAUUGCCGGUGCAAAUCGGUAAGGGUAAGAGCCCACCAGUGUUCCGGGUGACCGGAACAGCUUGGUAAACCCCGUCUGGAGCAAGGCCAAAUAGGUUCUGCCUUUAGAGGUGCCCCCUCAAAUCCCCGCUUCGGCGUGGAGGCAGAACGGGUUAGGCCGCAAGAGCCUGAUCAAAAGAUCAGGCAUUAGAUGAAUGACCACAGUCUCACUUAGGUGAGAACACAGAACUCGGCUUAUGGGCUGCUUCAGCCA